AACGUACACGUAAAAAAUUACAUAGAUUGGAAGAAAGAAUUGUAAUCAUUGAUCUCAAAGAGAAAUUACACACAGAGAAAUGGAGAGAGAAGCGAGGAGGAAGAGGAUAAUGGAGGGAGGGUCCGAUCGUUUGGCACUCAUCUCGGGCCGGGUUCACAGCAUGGACCCGCUGUCUUCCCCGAAUUCAUUUUCCGGCCAGUCAUCCACAUAUUCUACACCUGGUGAUAAUUAUCGUGGACACGCAUACUCUGAGUCAGAUUCCGGAAUAAACAAUACUGUUUUCUUUCCAGAUCAUCGUCAUGGUGGUGAUGACACAUCUAAUAUACAGUCGAGACACGAUAUCUUUGAUGAUGGCGAUUCUCAAGUAAAAGUAACUAAAUUUGAAGCCAAAGUUGCUGAAGUGGAGCAAUCCGAGGUAAAAUCAGUCCUCACACCACUUUCUGCUGCUAAACCUGGAAAUGAAGUAGAAUCAUCACUUGUGGCUACAACAGUCUCCAAGGCUUCAUAUGAUGCAAAUGCAAAGCCAUUUCAAAAACCAUUUGGCAACCUUUUCAGUUCAAGAACUCCAAGAGAAAUAAAUUCCUGCAUCAUCACCUCGGAGAAUACACGAGUUUUCUGUUCUAUUGUGAUAGCAAUUUUGGUAGUUCUAUCGCAUGUUAAUUUUCCCUGUAAAGUGGUGAAGUCGAAGAGCCUUAUUGCUUGGAGACCUCUUUAUGUAGUUUUGCUGACUGAUUUGAUGAUAGUAGCUGCUCGACUGGCACUCUAUGUGCAACGAGGUUCUGAUAAGGCGGAACAAGAUGAGGAACAAAGAUUUCAGGAAGAUGGGCAUAAUUGGGGAUCAGCCAUUAAGUUGUUGGAAUUCGGUUUGGUUUUGCAUCAGACGGUUCGUGCUGUAUUCAUUGAUUGCAGUUUUUACCUGGUGAUUGUAGUAUGUGGCCUUUCUUUAGUGUAGAAACACUUGCUGCAGCCUGCAUUCAUGAACGCUGGCUCCUGGGUUCACUUUGCUCUCGUACCCAGCUACAAUCUAUAACAUUUCAAACCAAGAUCUUUCUCCAUCAUUCAGUUGAUCAGAGCAAGUCUCUCAUUCAAAUAGUAAACUAAAUUAUUGUAUUGAUCUGCUUUUAAGAUCUCUAAAUUGGCAAGGAUGGAAUUGACGAGUUACCAGCAAUAAAUGAACGAGGAUCAACGAGCAGAGCUGGACCCAGUUUGACUUUAAACUGAAGAAUAAAAGAUCAAUUAUUUAUUCUUAAGAACUAAUCUAAUAAAGUCCUUAAGAAACCAAAUUGUACCACCUCUAUAAUUUCAACUACCGGUGUUCACCUCCAUAAUUUCAACCUGUCAUCUAAAUAUUUUUGAAAGGUUUGAGUUCCCUUUAUUAGAAAAUACAGUAGCAACGACAAUGCCAAUGUAGGUUC
RNA transcript from Olea europaea var. sylvestris, 1415 nucleotides. RefSeq lists it as uncharacterized. NCBI's taxonomy places the organism in Eukaryota, Viridiplantae, Streptophyta, Magnoliopsida, Lamiales, Oleaceae. The record is from RefSeq and is a predicted model, not a curated record. The transcript is spliced from 3 exons.